AUGGCGGCAGCGACGCGAACGCAAGCCGGUGGGCGGGCAAGCGAAGUAGGUGGACGGGCUUGGAGGUGGAGCAGGCGCUCGGGAGGCCGAGAGCGGCCGGCCACAGGCGGGGCAGACCCGGCAGCCGGGAGGCCGACGAGCAGCACGGAGCGCAGCGACGUGACGGGCACCCGGCCACGGGCGGAGAAAGCCGCGCGGAGGCCGGCACAGGACGGCGCGAACGCGGUCCCGUUGCGCAGGGGCCGGCCGGAGUGCAGGGCGCUAGGAAAGAGCCCGGACUGGGAUGCAGCAAUCCACAGCGGCACGGGCGCGGCCGGAGAUGCACGAGGCAAGAUGCAGUGCAGGUGCUAA
Molecule: ribosomal RNA, 351 nt
Filed under: Triticum aestivum (bread wheat)
Lineage: Eukaryota; Viridiplantae; Streptophyta; Magnoliopsida; Poales; Poaceae
Description: partial small subunit ribosomal RNA
Source: RNAcentral